ACUCAGUCUCUUACACCGGGCUUAUUUGGAAGUGCUGUUUCCAUUAGUACAUGGCAUAAGAGUGGGGCUGUGACCAUCUGGAAGAGGCCGUCUUUAACACAAAUUUGUCCUAAGGAAAAUAUUUUCAGAGUGGAAAGGAAGCUUGUUUUACUCACUGAAGCAUUCACUGAUAGCAUCACACAGUUGUGUGGGAGAGAAGGGGGUUUUGUACUGAAGUGAAACUCUCGGGUCUUGAGAAGUUAAAGAAUCUGGAUGAAUUCCUACUGAAUGGAGAGUAUUUCAAAAGGUCCCUGAGAACUGUCUUUCUCUCUACGGCUCCUGCUCUUGCUGAGUUGAAACAUUGCGUU
This 347-nucleotide long non-coding RNA is filed under the name Chrysemys picta bellii (western painted turtle). RNAcentral describes it as "lncRNA (ENSCPBG00000013825.1)". Lineage: Eukaryota; Metazoa; Chordata; Testudines; Emydidae. The record is from RNAcentral.